This 670-nucleotide ribosomal RNA is filed under the name uncultured bacterium. RNAcentral describes it as "bacterial SSU rRNA". It matches the Rfam family "Bacterial small subunit ribosomal RNA", at positions 26 to 746 of the family's 1533-position model. The record is from RNAcentral.
AAGCGACGCUGGCGGCAGGCCUAACACAUGCAAGUCGAACGCCCAGCAAUGGGAGUGGCAGACGGGAUAGUAACACGUGGGAACGCGCCCUUCGGUUCGGAAUAACUCAGGGAAACUUGAGCUAAUACCGGAUACGCCCUUACGGGGAAAGAUUUAUUGCCGAAGGAACGGCCCGCGUCGGAUUAGCUAGUUGGUGAGGUAAUGGCUCACCAAGGCGACGAUCCGUAGCUGGUCUGAGAGGAUGACCAGCAUCACUGGGACUGAGACACGGCCCAGACUCCUACGGGAGGCAGCAGUGGGGAAUAUUGGACAAUGGGCGCAAGCCUGAUCCAGCCAUGCCGCGUGGAUGAUGAAGGCCCUAGGGUUGUAAAGUCCUUUUAACGGGGAAGAUAAUGACGGUACCCGUAGAAUAAGCCCCGGCUAACUUCGUGCCAGCAGCCGCGGUAAUACGAAGGGGGCUAGCGUUGCUCGGAAUUACUGGGCGUAAAGCGCACGUAGGCGGGUCGAUAAGUCGGGGGUGAAAUCCUGGAGCUCAACUCCAGAACUGCCUUCGAAACUGUCGAUCUUGAGUUCGGGAGAGGUGAGUGGAACUGCGAGUGUAGAGGUGAAAUUCGUAGAUAUUCGCAAGAACACCAGUGGCGAAGGCGGCUCACUGGCCCGAUACUGACGC